UAAACCUGUGGCGUAUGAAAGUUCCCAGGCUAGAGGUUGAAUCAGAGCUGCAGCUGAGAGCCUAUGGCACAGCUACAGCACCAGAUCCCAGCCCCGUCAGUAACCUACACUUCGGCUUGGGGCAAGGCCAGAUCCUCAACCCAGUGAGGCAGGCCAGGAAUCAAACCCGCAUUCUCACGGAUGCUCUGUGGGGUUCUUAACCCACUGAGCCACGUUUUGGGAACUUCUAAAAGUUUUCUUAAGGUAGUUCAUUGGAUCCAGUAUAUCCAUAAUAUUUUUACUUAAACAUAUAAUCAGUAUAAAAAUGACUAAUGUGGCAUUUUACAUUAAAAUUUUUUGAUGUCUGUUUAAAUUUUUUUUUAAAUUGAGAUAUAAUUGGCAUAUAACAUUGUGUUAUUUCAGGUAUAUAACAUAAUGAUUUUAUUUUAGUUUUGGAGCAGUUCAAUAAUUGUUUUAAUCUUGAAAGAAAUCAUCUUCGAACAAAAUGGUAACGUUUUAAGAAUUCAGAGAGUGUAAUAAAGAUGUCAGAACUGUCCAGAUGCUCAUUGUGCAAUUGGAAACCACUCAAAAGUUGACACAAGUCUCCAAAAAAGAAAAAGAAAAAAAGGUCAAUGAGCUCAUUCAUUCUUGCAACAUCUGCCAGAAGCUACGGCUUCUUCUUCUUCUUCUUCUUUUUUUUUGUCUUUUUGCCAUUUUCUUGGGUUGCUCCUGCAGCAUAUGGAGGUUCCCAGGCUAGGGGUCGAAUUGGUGCUACAGCUGCUGGCCUACACCACAGCCACAGCAAGGCCAGAUCCCCGCCCCGCUGAUGCCAGGGAUCGAACCCACAUCCUCAUGGGUAGCGGUCAGGUUUGUUUCCACUGGGCCACAACGGGAACUCUCAACAAGCUUGUUUUCAGUUGAUUGUUAACUGCUGUUUGCAGGCUCAUUUACCUGGACCAUCAACUUACUGUUGCUUUUCCCUCUGCAGAAAGGCAGAAACACUCCAGAUGUCCUCCAAUAGUUACCAAGUUUCAAUCCCGAUGUCAAAAAGGAACACCAAUGGCCUGCCGGGGUCCAGCUCCAAUGAGCUGAAGACGUCUGCUGGGGGAGCUGUGUUAAGCUUUCAUGACAUCUGCUAUCGAGUGAAAGUGAAGAGUGGCUUUCUUUUUUGUCGGAAAACGGUUGAGAAGGAAAUACUGACGAACAUCAAGUACGUCGUCCAUGAACUUUUACUGAAACAGGUUCAUUGUCGUGCAGUGCGCGUCUCAGGUUUUGCUUAGUGCAGAUCAAGGUACCGGUCUGCACAGGUAGACAGACACACGCUCUUCAUUGCUUUCGGCUAAACGAGCUGAGCGGUGAGCCAGUUGGAUGAGAUGUUGGGUGUAUGUAUGUACAUGUAAGACAACUGGAGCUUAGCUCACGUCUAAGAGACGGAAGAGAGUUUAGGACCCAAAGUAACACACUCGGUUGUCUUACAGAAUUCAAGUCCGUACAAAACUAUGAUUUUUCUUCCCGCCAUCCAGCAACUGACUCAUCACAUGGUGGUGGCGUGGGCGAUAGAGGGACCCCUGAGUGUGAGAAUAAGGAGAGGAAUGGGAGGUGAAAAGCUUUUAUCUUUUGCUGCAUAUGCCCAGACUAGCAUCGACCGACCUUUCUGAAAAGCUGCCAGGUUAUUUGUGGAGCAAAGAAUGAAGAAAAGUGCUGGUCACUUGAGAUGUUUUGCUGCUAAAUGGAAGUUAGCAAAUGAUUUGCAAUAUGUGCAGGUUGAGUAAAUUGAAUAUAUUACUGCUCGAGGGUAUAUUUGUCUUGCUUAUGUUUUGUUUGUUUGUUUGUUUGUCUUUUUUGCCAUUUCUGGGGCUGCACCCGAGGCGUAUAGAGGUUCCCAGGCCAGGGGUCCAAUCAGAACUGCAGCCGCUGGCCUACACCACAGCCCACUGAGCAAGGACGGGGAUCGAACCCGCAAUCUCAUGGUUCCUAGUCGGAUUCAUUACCCACUGAGGCACGAUGGGAACUCCCUUGCUUAUGUUUUAAAGUCCAAUCAGAACUGCAGCCGCCGGCCUACACCACAGCCCACUGAGCAAGGACGGGGAUCGAACCCGCAAUCUCAUGGUUCCUAGUCGGAUUCAUUACCCACUGAGCCACGAUGGGAACUCCCUUGCUUAUGUUUUAAAGCUAGUAGUGUGUUAACUUGCUAACACUAAUGGUGUCGUCUGCUCAAGGCUUUACAGUGUUUUUAUGGUUGAGUGGUAUGCAUUUCAGCAACAGGUGAGUUCAUCCUUACACGCAUUUCUAGGUUCAUAAAAACUCAGUCAAAUCUUGUAAUCAUUUCAAAUUUUAGUAAUUAAGAGGAUGCCAGGGAUUGUUUUUCUUGCUUACUCACAUUUCUGGUGUAGGCAGUGGUGUUUCUUUUUCCUAUUUGCUGGUUUCAACUGAGUUUGUCUAGGAUGGGCAAAGGGUGCUCUCAUUUAUCUUGUUUAUUUGUUUAUUUUUUUAGGAGUGCAACUGAGGCAUAUGGAAGUUCCCAGGCUAGAGGUCAAAUCAGAACCACAGCCACAUGGAUCCAAGCCCUAUCUGCAACCUUCGUUGAAACUCAUGGCAAUGCUAGAUCCUUAACCCACUGAGCGAGGCCAGGAAUCGAACCUCCAUCCUCAUGGAUACUAGUUGGGUUUGUAACCCACUGAGCUAUAGCAGGAGCUCCGUCACUUUGUUUCUUUAUGUGCUCACUGCUGUUGAUAUUUUUCUGGACCAUGUGAGAACAGGCUGCCCAUAUGAUGUUCCAUUAUCACCACCUCCUCCAGUAAAUAUUUCUAGAGACAGGGACUCUCCCUUAUAUAACCACUCAGUCAUUGCCUGGGAGCAGUCCAGGGGUGGCCUCAGCCUGAACAUAGGGGCGGGUCCUGGGGGGCUGCUGCUCAGCCACGCUUCUCAGCACGUUGUGUCUCUUCAGUCUCAUCCACGCUGUCGUUUUUCUGUCCCAUCCCUUAACCUUGAUUACCUGCCCAGGUUGGGGUCUGCCAGCCUUCUUUAGUAUAAUGUCACCAUCAUCCCCUUUGUAAUUGAUAAAUAUUAUGAAGGGAGAUACUCUAACAUUAUUCCAU
RNAcentral lists this long non-coding RNA (3077 nucleotides) under Sus scrofa (pig). RNAcentral's name for it is "lncRNA (ENSSSCG00035018562.1)". The record is from RNAcentral. Lineage: Eukaryota; Metazoa; Chordata; Mammalia; Artiodactyla; Suidae.